This is a long non-coding RNA of Coregonus clupeaformis (lake whitefish), 2658 nucleotides long. RefSeq lists it as uncharacterized. The record is from RefSeq and is a predicted model, not a curated record. The transcript has 3 exons. NCBI's taxonomy places the organism in Eukaryota, Metazoa, Chordata, Actinopteri, Salmoniformes, Salmonidae.
GAAGAAGAGGAGGAGAAGAUUGGGAAAUCUGUUUCUCAUGAUGUAUGCCUUUGACACCAUGAACCAUCAGAUCCUCCAUUCCACCCUCUCAGGGUUCGUCAUCUCAGGCUCUGCACUCUCCUGGAUUGUAUUCUACCUGGCAGGUCACUCCUACCAGGUGGUGUGGAGAGGAUCUGUGUCUGCAUCACGUGCACUACUGGUGUCCCCCAGGGCUCAGUUCUAGGCCCUCUCCUCACAUGGUCUCUCCUAUCAUUGUUAUGUGGAUGCCACUCAACUAAUCUUCAAAUUCCCCCCUUCUGACACCCAGGUGGCAACACGCAUCUCUGCGUGCCUGGCUGAUAUCUCAGCUUGUAUGUCGGACCACAGGUUCGGACCACAGGUUCAAGCUCAACCUCAACAAAACGGAGCAACUCUUCCUCCCGGGAAAGACCUGCCCGCUCUAAGGCCUGUCCAUCAUGGUUGACAACUCCACGGUGUCCCAUUCCCAGAGUGCAAAGAACCUUGGCGUGCUCUGCAAACAUCAAAGCAGUGACUCGCUCCUGCAGGUUCAUGCUCUACAACAGCCAACCCCAAUAAGCGGCCCGCGGGCCAGAUCCGUCCCGCAAGAGCCAAAUGUCUAGCCCACACUGACAGCAUUGGCAUUCACUUGUUAAAAUAAACAUGAAUUUAAUAUCCGCGGCUCUGCUUUAUUUUGAAAUGAUCCCACACCUUGACCUGUGGACUUUACCGCGUGCAUACGUAAGACGUGCCUCGCGCGCUUUGCGUACUCGUCUCCACUCGACUAGCUACCUAGUGUAGUGUCAUACACACACAGUAGCCGCAGCCGCUCGCCAGUUAACCCUCUUUCAUCGAAAGGACUGACCACUUCCUCACAAAAAAAUAUUAAAUCCAGUCAAACCAACAUGGCAUUCGCCAAGAUACGCAAGGUAGACCAGGAGAACCGUCAGUUCAAAACUGACUGGACUGAGAGGUAUUGCUUUUUUUUACCGGACCACAACAGUGCUAAGCCCACAUGCUUAAUAUGCAUGCAGACUGUAGCUGUAAUCAAAGCGGACAAUCUGAAGCGGCAUUUUAACUAUAUUCAUGCUGCCAGUUUUAAUGCAAACUACCCAGAAAAAUCAGUGACUUUUUGAGCUUUUUAACUGACAACAAGGUGAUAUCAGAUGUUCCUUUUUGUGUGACAUCAUGUCUCAUCUAAAUCACCUUAACCUGCGACUACAAGGCAAGAACCACACUGUUGCUGACAUGUAUGAGGCAAUUGAAGCUUUCCGGUCAAAGCUGCACCUCCUGGAGAGAGACAUUCAUGGGAGAAAGUUGCACUUUCCACGUCUGCUUGAGCAUUGUGAGAAGAAUAAAAUGCUGGAAGAUCCAGCAAUGAAGGAUUUUGUGUCCAGGCUGGCAGAAAACUUCAAGGAAAGAUUUGAAAGCUCCCCUAAACUCUCAGCUGACAUCCUUCUCUUCGUAAGACAGUCGUUUUCUGUGUCAGCUGACGGCCAGUGGACUGCAGAGGCCAAAAAGCUGGUGCCUUCCAUAGAUGAGGCUGCUCUUCAGAUGGAAAUCUUGGAGAUGGGAACAUCUGAUUUGCUCAAAGCUCAACACAAGGAUGCACUGGUGAGUGACUUUUGGAUCAACGUGGUUCCCCAAGCUCGUUUUAAAAACACCAGAGAUAUUGCAAUGCUCCUACUCACGAUGUUCCCCUCAACAUACAUCUGUGAAUCAGCAUUUUCUUCAAUGAAUGCUAUCAAGAGCCAGGACAGAAACAGACUCUCAGAUUCACAUCUUGGACAGUGCCUCAGGAUUGCCACAACAGAAUACAAGCCUGACAUCAGAAAGGUUGCCUCAUCCCGUAGCUCUCACUUCUCUCACUGAUUGAAAGACCGUCUGAACGCAGAUAUCCAAAGCAUGGGUGUUCCAGACAGAAGUGGGCACUGUGUGUGUGUGUGUGUGUGUGUGUGUGUGUGUGUGUGUGUGUGUGUGUGUGUGUGUGAAUGUGUUUGCUGGACUUUUUGUUUGCUGACUGUUUGCACAGAAUAUGCUCCAGGGGCAUUUCAUAAUUAAAUAGUUGGUUUUGGACUAAUUUAGUAUUUUUCAUUUUUCUCUUAUGUGACUCCUAACACCACUACUAAUAAUUAUAAAAUCACAAUAGAAGUGAAAACUGAUAAAACAUAAAACUGUCGCCAAAAAAACAAACAUGUUGGCCCUCGGCUUGGCAUGCCUGACCAAAUUUGGCCCUUAGGGAAAUCUAAUUGGGGAACCCUGCUCUACAACAUCCGUUGAGUAAGACCUUUCCUACAUCCCAUCGCAAGCGCCACGUUCUGCCACCUAUGGUCUCUUGGCCCUCCCACCCCUAAGGGAGGGCAGCUCCCACACCUCCCAGUCAACGCUCUUCUCUGUCCUGGCACCCCAAUGGUGGAACAAGUUUCCCCCUAAAGUCAAGACAGCAGAGUCCCUGCCCAUCUUUUAAACACGUCUGAAACCCUUCCUCUUUGUAGAGUAUCUUAAAUCCCCCCCCACACUUUUGUUUUCCCACGAGAACUGACUUUGAUGAUGAAUACUUUCUUGAGAGAAAAUGUAAUUGAUACGAUUGUGAUGCGUUGUUGUCUCACCUAGCUAUCUUAAGAUGAAUGUACUAUUGUAAGUCACUCUGGAUAAGAGUGU